This 504-nucleotide ribosomal RNA is filed under the name uncultured bacterium. RNAcentral describes it as "partial 16S ribosomal RNA". It matches the Rfam family "Bacterial small subunit ribosomal RNA", at positions 28 to 523 of the family's 1533-position model. The record is from RNAcentral.
GACGAACGCUGGCGGCAGGCCUAACACAUGCAAGUCGAACGGUAGCACAGAGAGCUUGCUCUCGGGUGACGAGUGGCGGACGGGUGAGUAAUGUCUGGGAAACUGCCUGAUGGAGGGGGAUAACUACUGGAAACGGUAGCUAAUACCGCAUAACGUCGCAAGACCAAAGUGGGGGACCUUCGGGCCUCAUGCCAUCAGAUGUGCCCAGAUGGGAUUAGCUGGUAGGUGAGGUAACGGCUCACCUAGGCGACGAUCCCUAGCUGGUCUGAGAGGAUGACCAGCCACACUGGAACUGAGACACGGUCCAGACUCCUACGGGAGGCAGCAGUGGGGAAUAUUGCACAAUGGGCGCAAGCCUGAUGCAGCCAUGCCGCGUGUAUGAAGAAGGCCUUCGGGUUGUAAAGUACUUUCAGCGAGGAGGAAGGCGAUAAGGUUAAUAACCUUGUCGAUUGACGUUACUCGCAGAAGAAGCACCGGCUAACUCCGUGCCAGCCGCCGCUGUAA